AUGUGCACGCUCUGUUUACACAUCCACUCACACCUGUGCACCCACUGUAGUUUUACGGUCUGGGGGACCCUGUCUUCCUUCCGUAGUUCUACGUCUUUACACACACACUGUAAUAAAGUCUUAUGGAAUGUAUGCCGCGUCUAACGCAACACAAUACAACUUUCAGCAACGGAUCUCUUGGCUCUCGCAUCGAUGAAGAACGCAGCGAAAUGCGAUAAGUAAUGUGAAUUGCAGAAUUCAGUGAAUCAUCGAAUCUUUGAACGCACCUUGCGCCCCUUGGAUAUUCCGAGGGGCAUGCCUGUUUGAGUAUCAUGAACACCUCAACUCUCAUGGUUUGCCAUGACGAGCUUGGACCUUGGGGGUUUUGCUGGCCUGUGGUCGGCUCCUCUCAAAUGAAUCAGCCUCCCAGUGUUUGGUGGCAUCACGAGUGUGAUAACUAUCUACGCUCGCGGUUGCCCACCAGGUAGCCUUUGGUGACAAAGGUUCGCUGGAGCUCACAGAUGUCUCUCCUUAGCGAGGACAGCUUUUUAACGUUCGAUCUCAAAUCAGGUAGGACUACCCCGCUGAACUUAAGCAUAUCAAUAA
RNAcentral lists this ribosomal RNA (585 nucleotides) under uncultured Tomentella. RNAcentral's name for it is "eukaryotic LSU rRNA". The stretch from base 158 to 312 matches the Rfam family "5.8S ribosomal RNA". Lineage: Eukaryota; Fungi; Basidiomycota; Agaricomycetes; Thelephorales; Thelephoraceae. The record is from RNAcentral.